CCUACGGGAGGCAGCAGUGAGGAAUAUUUGUCAAUGGGCGUAAGCCUGAACCAGCCAAGUCGCGUGAGGGAUGAAGGUUCUAUGGAUCGUAAACCUCUUUUAUAAGGGAAUAAAGUGUGGGACGUGUCCUGUUUUGUAUGUACCUUAUGAAUAAGGAUCGGCUAACUCCGUGCCAGCAGCCGCGGUAAUACGGAGGAUCCGAGCGUUAUCCGGAUUUAUUGGGUUUAAAGGGUGCGUAGGCGGCCUUUUAAGUCAGCGGUGAAAGUCUGUGGCUCAACCAUAGAAUUGCCGUUGAAACUGGGAGGCUUGAGUAUGUUUGAGGCAGGCGGAAGGCGUGGUGUAGCGGUGAAAUGCUUAGAUAUCACGCAGAACCCCGAUUGCGAAGGCAGCCUGCCAAGCCAUGACUGACGCUGAUGCACGAAAGCGUGGGGAUCAAACAGGAUUAGAUACCCCAGUAGUC
RNAcentral lists this ribosomal RNA (460 nucleotides) under uncultured bacterium. Its description in RNAcentral is "partial 16S ribosomal RNA". It matches the Rfam family "Bacterial small subunit ribosomal RNA", at positions 338 to 795 of the family's 1533-position model. The record is from RNAcentral.